Molecule: long non-coding RNA, 723 nt
Organism: Papaver somniferum (opium poppy)
Lineage: Eukaryota; Viridiplantae; Streptophyta; Magnoliopsida; Ranunculales; Papaveraceae
Exons: 5
Source: RefSeq, a predicted model, not a curated record
GCAACAAGAUCUACAACCUCAGAUGAUGCUCUUUAUGUAAUCAAUGAUUAAUGGUAUGGUUGCUCAUGAAUCCAUCGGGAAACAGGGCUAAGUAAACGUUAAGGAUUUCAAGUGUUUUGAAUCACAUCAGGUUUGAUUUAUUGUCAGGUUGAAGGAAUUAUUCAAGCCGGUUGGGAUUCAAAUGUGUGGAAAAGUAAAGAAUAGAUUCAUGCUAUAGUGGGCGGCUGUGAUGAUUUUUUUCGAUGCCGACUGGAAGCAGAACGAGUUUGACAUCCCAGUGAUUGUGAUCUCACGACUCUUAUAUUAAUACUCAAUUAAUUGAGAAGAUUAUCAGUAUUAUAGCGAUAGCAUAUCUCAAAUGAUGGCCACAUUUAUAGGGAAUGAGGAUCUCUGAACUUAUGAACAGAGUGGUUGCCGUACGACCUAGGGCUCAGGAAGACCAUCAGGAACACCUACAUCUACAGAUCCCUCUGCUACACCAUACAUAUUCUAAAUCGUAUUUGGAAGUACUGACGAUCUACAGCUGCCCUGCUAAGCGGAAAAAGCGAACAAGGAUAUAAGCAUUUGUCUAUGCGCUAAUGGUCAAGUUCGUUAUUAAGAUAUUGAUAAUUAGGUUAUUACAACGAAAUAAUGGUCUAAACUGCACUGAUAUGGUAUGAUCAUUUUGUUGUAAUACUAUAUGGUUUUCAAUUUGUGGCACCGCCUUGUUUAGUGUUGAGUAUG